AGGACGAACGCUGGCGGCGUGCUUAACACAUGCAAGUCGAGCGGAAAGGCCCUUCGGGGUACUCGAGCGGCGAACGGGUGAGUAACACGUGAGCAACCUGCCCCUGGCUCUGGGAUAGCCUCCGGAAACGGGGAUUAAUACCGGACAUUCACUUCCUUCCGCAUGGUUGGUGGUGGAAAGUUUUUCGGCCGGGGAGGGGCUCGCGGUCUAUCAGCUUGUUGGCGGGGUAACGCCCACCAAGGCGACGACGGAUAG
RNAcentral lists this ribosomal RNA (255 nucleotides) under uncultured bacterium. RNAcentral describes it as "partial small subunit ribosomal RNA". It matches the Rfam family "Bacterial small subunit ribosomal RNA", at positions 26 to 286 of the family's 1533-position model. The record is from RNAcentral.